AUCCAGCUGAUGAGUCCUGAGAAAAACGAAACGCGCGUCCUGGAU
This is a non-coding RNA of Schistosoma mansoni, 45 nucleotides long. The record is from Rfam. NCBI's taxonomy places the organism in Eukaryota, Metazoa, Platyhelminthes, Trematoda, Strigeidida, Schistosomatidae.